AGAGUUUGAUCCUGGCUCAGAUUGAACGCUGGCGGAAUGCUUUACACAUGCAAGUCGAACGGCAGCACGGGAGCUUGCUCCUGGUGGCGAGUGGCGAACGGGUGAGUAAUAUAUCGGAACGUACCCAGUCGUGGGGGAUAACUCUCCGAAAGGAGAGCUAAUACCGCAUACGUCCUGAGGGGGAAAGCGGGGGAUCGCAAGACCUCGCGCGAUUGGAGCGGCCGAUAUCGGAUUAGCUAGUUGGUGAGGUAAAGGCUCACCAAGGCGACGAUCCGUAGCGGGUCUGAGAGGACGGCCCGCCACACUGGAACUGAGACACGGUCCAGACUCCUACGGGAGGCAGCAGUGGGGAAUUUUGGACAAUGGGGGCAACCCUGAUCCAGCCAUUCCGCGUGAGUGAAGAAGGCCUUCGGGUUGUAAAGCUCUUUCAGCUGGAGCGAAACGGUACGCUCUAACAUAGCGUGCUAAUGACGGUACCAGCAGAAGAAGCACCGGCUAACUACGUGCCAGCAGCCGCGGUAAUACGUAGGGUGCGAGCGUUAAUCGGAAUUACUGGGCGUAAAGCGUGCGCAGGCGGAUUGUUAAGCAAGACGUGAAAUCCCCGGGCUUAACCUGGGAAUGGCGUUUUGAACUGGCAGUCUAGAGUGCGUCAGAGGGGGGUGGAAUUCCACGUGUAGCAGUGAAAUGCGUAGAGAUGUGGAGGAACACCGAUGGCGAAGGCAGCCCCCUGGGAUGACACUGACGCUCAUGUACGAAAGCGUGGGUAGCAAACAGGAUUAGAUACCCUGGUAGUCCACGCCCUAAACGAUGUCAACUGGUUGUUGGGGGAGUGAAAUCCCUUAGUAACGAAGCUAACGCGUGAAGUUGACCGCCUGGGGAGUACGGUCGCAAGAUU
RNAcentral lists this ribosomal RNA (895 nucleotides) under uncultured bacterium. RNAcentral's name for it is "bacterial SSU rRNA". It matches the Rfam family "Bacterial small subunit ribosomal RNA", at positions 8 to 895 of the family's 1533-position model. The record is from RNAcentral.